Molecule: unclassified non-coding RNA, 1705 nt
Filed under: Apis dorsata (giant honeybee)
Lineage: Eukaryota; Metazoa; Arthropoda; Insecta; Hymenoptera; Apidae
Description: rNA-binding protein Musashi homolog Rbp6-like, transcript variant X4
Source: RNAcentral
GGAUUCCAAAUUUAACACAAUAAAUUCUAUUUCGAUCGUGUUACAAUGUACACAAGUACUACUUUAGUCAUUAUCUUUUUAACGAUAUAAAAAAAAAAUAUUAAUGCACGACUAAAGUAUCACGUAAGUAUUAUACAUAAAAAAAAAAAAGAAAAAAAAAAAUAAAUUUCUAAAGAAUUCAUUUUAUCAAUAAAAAAAUCUUAGUUAAUCCAAACGUAAAAAAAUAUAUACAUACUUGAUAUGAACUGGAACGAAACGAAGCCCAGUCGGUAAAGUGUGAAUCGAUUUAUGAAAUGAACGUAGAAAAGAAGAAGAAAAGAGAACAAAAAAGGAAUAUAUGAAGCACGAUGAAGAAUAGAGCGUCGGUCGUUAACGAGGGGGGUUGCUCGUCCUCGAGGAUGAUGCGGCGUGGUGUGUGCAAGUGGUUCGUUCCCGGCCGGUCCGAUCAACGUGUGACACGGUGCGUCGUCAACGUAAAUAGACGUGGAGGUGGCCGGUGGCACCGGUGCCACCGGUUGCCACUUUGCGGGUAAAGCGUGCACACGAUCAUUGAACGCAUGCGCACUACCGUUAUGUCAGUUUAUAGAGAGGCCGAGUACACCCCCUCUUUCACCCGUGCACCCUUCGCCUGUCCAUCGAUGCGUUCUCCUAACCAACCCGAGUGGGGGUAGAGCUCUCCUCUCCGCGGGCUAUCCUCUAGGAGGAUAUCAAACUCAGUCGCAAAGCGUACGUUCGCGCGUGUGUUCGUUUGCGAGUUUCCCUUAUUCAAAGACAAAACUUGCUUACUUGCUUGCUCGUCGCGUGACUUUCGUCAUACUUCAACGCGCUCUUCGUCGGAUUUGAUUUGUGCUUUCGUUUCCAGUUGGAACGGUUCGUUUAUCCAUGUGAGUGGUGAAACAUCGAACAAUCUCCCUAGAUAGUGACUUGUUGAACUUAUUGCUACGAAAUGAGGAGCACGUGGAUUUCCGGUGACAUAGCCGAGGAUCACGAUGAGUGUACUGCACGAGAGAAACCUUGAACUUGAAUCGCUGAAGAUCGUCGAGACCUCGCUGUCUUAACGACUUGUUCUCAUCGGCGUGUCAAAAUCGUGAACAGUCUCGGAAGUGACAGGACAGACAGAGGGUAUAGCCGCGACCACCGAUGGCGGCCGCGAGCUUUCCGCCAAACUUCUCGAACGUCGGCAUAUUGGAGAACUGGCUUUCCACGACUCUUCUCGGAGAAGAGGAUCAGAGGAAAGAGGGGAAAAUGAGUUAGAGAGACAAAGGCGCAGAGCAACAACGAGCCGGGCUACACACGAGACCGAGCACGAGCCUUUUCACCCGAGAACCCCUGUUCCGUCUCUCUUUUUUUCAAGGAUGCAGGUACGAAUCCUGGUCGCCGGUCCUGGUGAACCGACGUUGGACCACCAGGUGCGAGCACGAACAACGGAGCGACGGUGACCGGGACCCGGUAUAUUGUCUCUCCGCCGGCAUGGAGGCGGCGAACGGUGCGAUCGAGCACGACUUUCACAAUGCUCUGGUGCCUAUAAACGGUAGCCAUUCCGGCAGCUCCGGGAGGAGUACACCGAAUGGCGGCGACCCAGCACCCGGCAAACUCUUCGUGGGUGGCUUGUCCUGGCAGACCAGUAGCGAGAAACUCAGGGAGUACUUCGGCAUGUUCGGUACCGUCACCGAUGUCCUGAUCAUGAAGGAUCCGGUUACACAGG